This 67-nucleotide transfer RNA is filed under the name Meru phyllisae. Its description in RNAcentral is "tRNA-Ala". Lineage: Eukaryota; Metazoa; Arthropoda; Insecta; Coleoptera; Meruidae. The record is from RNAcentral.
AGGAUAAUAGUAUAUAAUACAUUUAAAUUGCAAUUAAAAAAUAUUGAUUAUCAAUCAAUUUAUCUUA